Molecule: unclassified non-coding RNA, 347 nt
Filed under: Hevea brasiliensis (rubber tree)
Lineage: Eukaryota; Viridiplantae; Streptophyta; Magnoliopsida; Malpighiales; Euphorbiaceae
Source: RNAcentral
ACAAGAGGCUAUUCUUCAAGGUUAAACUUUUUCCACUUAAAUCUAAGUUCUUCAAAGAUUUAACAAGUACCUGUGGUUCCAUCCAAUGGCUAGCAUCAAAGAUUUUCUAACCAAGCAAUCGUAAUCAUUCUUUUUAAUACGUUGAGCUUUGGCUACAGGAUUCCUCAUCCCCAACUAAGCAAGUUUAGGAUAGGCUGAAUUUAUUGUCUCGAUCCCUUAGUUGUUUAAUGUUGCAUCUUUACUAAUGCUUGUCCUUUGAGUUUGAUAUCUUCACUAAAAACUUAUUGGAAAGAUUUUUUUUCCAUCCAGUCUGCAUGAUGCUUUUGUUUUUCUUUGCUUAUCAUCAU